This 497-nucleotide ribosomal RNA is filed under the name uncultured bacterium. Its description in RNAcentral is "partial 16S ribosomal RNA". It matches the Rfam family "Bacterial small subunit ribosomal RNA", at positions 28 to 507 of the family's 1533-position model. The record is from RNAcentral.
GAUGAACGCUGGCGGCGUGCCUAAUACAUGCAAGUCGAGCGAACAGACGAGGAGCUUGCUCCUCUGACGUUAGCGGCGGACGGGUGAGUAACACGUGGAUAACCUACCUAUAAGACUGGGAUAACUUCGGGAAACCGUAGCUAAUACCGGAUAAUAUAUUGAACCGCAUGGUUCAAUAGUGAAAGACGGUUUUGCUGUCACUUAUAGAUGGAUCCGCGCUGCAUUAGCUAGUUGGUAAGGUAACGGCUUACCAAGGCAACGAUGCGUAGCCGACCUGAGAGGGUGAUCGGCCACACUGGAGCUGGGACAAGGUCCAGACUCCUACGGGAGGCAGCAGUAGGGAAUCUUCCGCAAUGGGCGAAAGCCUGACGGAGCAACGCCGCGUGAGUGAUGAAGGUCUUCGGAUCGUAAAACUCUGUUAUUAGGGAAGAACAAAUGUGUAAGUAACUGUGCACGUCUUGACGGUACCUAAUCAGAAAGCCACGGCUAACUACGUG